CUGAAAAUGAAGUUGACAACUGAACUCAUGGUGCUGGCUGCAGGUCAUUACGUUGAUUGAAAUGAACUUUAGAAACCCAUUUAGAAUGUCUUGGCCAGAGAAGCUUUCCUUGAUGCUGUUCCUGUAGUUCUUUUCCUGCCACUUCUCAAGAUGUCAAGGCCACAUACAAGAAGAGGGUUGUAAGCCUGGGGGGACACAUGGACUGCUGCCCAGAAUCACACAAGAGAAUGGUCUGACACUACAUGGAAAGAGAGGGUGCUGAGAAAUCUUAAGUGUCACAUUGUUAAAAGCUG
Molecule: long non-coding RNA, 293 nt
Organism: Tyto alba (common barn owl)
Lineage: Eukaryota; Metazoa; Chordata; Aves; Strigiformes; Tytonidae
Exons: 3
Source: RefSeq, a predicted model, not a curated record